RNAcentral lists this unclassified non-coding RNA (285 nucleotides) under uncultured fungus. RNAcentral's name for it is "partial contains 18S rRNA, ITS1, 5.8S rRNA, ITS2 and 28S rRNA". The record is from RNAcentral. Lineage: Eukaryota; Fungi.
AAGGAUCAUUACAGAAUAAACUUGAUAGGUUGUUGCUGGCUCUAAAUACUGAGCAUGUGCACACUUGUCAUUUUUGUCUUUCCACCAUGUGCACCAUUGCAUAGGAACAUCAUUUGAUCAAAGGCAGCUUUGUUCACUGGAGAAUUGCUAUUGUGAAAGCAAUGGCUUUCUCUGCUUGUUCCUAUGAUUUUAUAUACACCUGUUAAUGUUACAGAACGAUCUAAUGGGUCUUAAAAUGCCCUAUAAACUAUUAUACAACUUUCAGCAACGGAUCUCUUGGCUCUC